AUUGAACGCUGGCGGCAUGCUUUACACAUGCAAGUCGAACGGUAACAGGGAGCUUGCUCCGCUGACGAGUGGCGAACGGGUGAGUAAUGCAUCGGAACAUGCCCAGUCAUGGGGGAUAACUACGCGAAAGCGUAGCUAAUACCGCAUACGCCCUGAGGGGGAAAGUGGGGGAUCUUAGGACCUCACGUGAUUGGAGUGGCCGAUGUCAGAUUAGCUAGUUGGUGAGGUAAAGGCUCACCAAGGCGACGAUCUGUAGCGGGUCUGAGAGGAUGAUCCGUCACACUGGGACUGAGACACGGCCCAGACUCCUACGGGAGGCAGCAGUGGGGAAUUUUGGACAAUGGGCGCGAGCCUGAUCCAGCCAUGCCGCGUGAGUGAAGAAGGCCUCGG
RNAcentral lists this ribosomal RNA (390 nucleotides) under uncultured bacterium. Its description in RNAcentral is "bacterial SSU rRNA". It matches the Rfam family "Bacterial small subunit ribosomal RNA", at positions 30 to 420 of the family's 1533-position model. The record is from RNAcentral.